Salvia miltiorrhiza (redroot sage) is the source of this 840-nucleotide long non-coding RNA. RefSeq lists it as uncharacterized. Lineage: Eukaryota; Viridiplantae; Streptophyta; Magnoliopsida; Lamiales; Lamiaceae. The transcript has 3 exons. The record is from RefSeq and is a predicted model, not a curated record.
CAAAUUAAUGGUCAAGAUUACACCUAAUUAAUUAUUAAUCUCGUUUUUCUUUUUUCUGAAUAAGCUAAAAAAUCAAUUAAAAAUUCGAAGAGUAUCUGACAAUUUCCUUAUUCAAUGAACUGUCAUUCCUAAAUUAACGUCAGUAAUUAAGGAAUUCUCUCUCCCUCCCCACGACUUUUGCAAACCACCUCCACUCACUUCAGAAACCCUAUAGCAGACACAAAUUCAUCUCUCUUCACACCGCCUGAGUCCGGCGCUUCUGUGCACUUUCGUCGCGAGCAUCUGAAGGCGUCGCGGCGUGCCCUGAUUUCAUCCACUCGUCAGUACGGCCUCUGUCUAAAAAUGAUGCCGCCGUCGGGACUGUAGGCUGUCACCGAAGCUGGAUUCAAUCGGAAAUUUUCGUCGAUGCUGGGUCAUGAAAUCAGCGACGAAACUUUGAAGAAGCUUUGUGGAAGCAUUAUCCUCACCAUCAACGAGUAAAAGAAGGAAGACUUCUGGAACAGUAGGAUGCGCAUACGGUAUUGUGCAUCCAUUUUGGCGUGGGAGGAAAAUGAGGCGAAAAAGGCCGUUGUGGACAAAGCUUCACAUACUUUUGGAGAAAUGUACAAGGAUCCAAAAUUCAAUGUAAAUUUGAUGCUACUAGGUUGAAAUUUGGGCACGGAAGAGUCCCAUAAAAAAAACUAUAGUUUUUUGAUGAUUGAAGUCAUUUGAAACAUAUGUUUUGGAUGAUACAAUAAAGUCUGGAUUUUGUGUCAAUUGAUUUUGUUUGACUUCCAUUGGUUUGUGAUGUGAAAUUGUAGAAUUAUAAUCUAUCAGUAAAAUAUCUGCUAGUGAACAUUG